CGUGAGAUGUUGGGUUAAGUCCCGCAACGAGCGCAACCCCUAUCCUUUGUUGCCAGCACGUAAUGGUGGGAACUCAAAGGAGACUGCCGCGGACAACGCGGAGGAAGGCGGGGAUGACGUCAAGUCAUCAUGCCCCUUAUGUCCUGGGCUACACACGUACUACAAUGGGAUGGACAGAGAGCAGCGAAGCCGCGAGGCCAAGCGAACCCCAUAAACCAUCUCCCAGUUCGGAUUCGCAGGCUGCAACCCGCCUGCAUGAAGUCGGAGCUCGCUAGUAAUC
This 280-nucleotide ribosomal RNA is filed under the name uncultured bacterium. RNAcentral describes it as "partial 16S ribosomal RNA". It matches the Rfam family "Bacterial small subunit ribosomal RNA", at positions 1066 to 1343 of the family's 1533-position model. The record is from RNAcentral.